This is a long non-coding RNA of Oncorhynchus keta (chum salmon), 2531 nucleotides long. RefSeq lists it as uncharacterized. The transcript has 5 exons. The record is from RefSeq and is a predicted model, not a curated record. Lineage: Eukaryota; Metazoa; Chordata; Actinopteri; Salmoniformes; Salmonidae.
UAAGCAAGGGGCACCACCAAGCAAGCGGCACUACAAAGACCAAGGAGCUCGCCAAACAGGAUCUGUGGAGAGGUAUUCACCAUGUGGUGAAUGAACACACAUGGACAUUGGGACAUUGUGACUGCCUGGGGGACAACUACACCAAGGAAUGAAUCAAAAAUGUCUCUCCAGCACAUCAGGCUCUCACACACAUUGUCCUCAACACAAGGUGGCUGAAGGAUCUUCAUAAAUACCUGAACUUCAGAUCAACAGCUGAUCUUGAGUCCUACCAGAGCCAUAUUCUGCUGUACGCCAGCAAGCGUUUUUCCUUUUCACCACCAGUCUGAGGCCAGAACACUGCUGGCAGCACUAGACUACAACUUUCACAAGGACAGACCAGCCAGGCAGAACGCAGAUGGAACCAAGAUAGGCUGGAAUCCGUUGGCGAGAUGCCAAGGAGAAGAACCCCGAGGGCCAAAGACCCUAAAAGACUUGGACACCUACCCCUUAUUCUUCAGCCAACCACUGAGGGACUUGCGCAAUCACAAGUGAGAAGAGGCCUAGCAUUGGGUGAACUUUGAGACUAUGCAAGAGCUCCAGAAACCUCCUCCAGCUCAGCAACCCUGUGAGAAAGCCAGGGAACGACCCACAGACACACCGUUAUACACCAAGUACAUUACAAUUACAGAAUUUGAAAGUGGUUUUAUUUACUUUUUGUACAACAGAAUUAUUUGCCCCUCAAAGUAAGAAUGACAUUUUUGUCUGACUUAUCUGUUGGAAUACAUCUCUAGAUUAACAGUAAAGCCCAUAAUAAACCAAGACCCCUGCUGCUGGACCUCUAAAGACCCCCCUAUCAACCAUCUAGAGGGAGUCCUCCCUGGCUGCUCUGUAAACAUGGCCUUACUUUGAGAGCACAUUACUUAAUUAAAGCCCUAACAUCAUCACACGAUUGCCCCGUGCAAAUUGCCAAGCAGCUCCUCCUAAAAGGCUCUUCACAAAAAGUGACAUCACACAUCCCAACUUGGCAACAAAUCAUUGGGUUAGAAGACAAAAUACGAGAGUGACAACCUGAUUCUAGCCUAUUGAAACAACACAGAGCAUACCAUCCCCCUCCUCAAACCCCUUGCUUCAAACCUGAACCUUAUUUUGAUUUAGAUUGUGAUCAGUGGUGUACAUGUUAGGUUAUUUGAAUGGGUUGAUCAUGUGAUGACAGUGGACCUUUAAACAGUUCAGAUUAAAUCUAUAGAGGUCUUUACACAGCUAGAUCCAUUGAUCCACCUAUGCUGCUACAUCUUACCCGGACCACCUGUCAGCCAUAGCUCUAUUACAAUAUAUUGUUGGCCUCUUUACCCUCCUCUAAUCCUCCCAUCCCUGUGUUCAUGGGGCUCUACCUGCCUCUAGGGGUGUAUAUUAUGUCUGGGCUGACACAUACAUCUUUUAUUUCUUGUUAGGUGAUAACUGACAAGGUUCUCGACCAUAGAUGUUUUUGAUCUGGUUAUAUUCUGAGUUUCUGUUUUAGCCAUUUCUCAGUUGAGCAUUUUUCUUGGUUGCUAAGGUUUAACUUGCAUUUGAUCAUGUUCACAUUGCAUCUUAGCUCCUCAGGCUGGAAUCAGCAAGUCGUCUGCGACCCCCAACACUUACCUCUUUUUCUCACUUCUCUUUUCGGGUCGAGUUGAUCCAGAUCCAAUACUAAUGCUGAUGAUGCUUGUUCUGUAGAACAUAUGUAAAAAAACGUUGUCCCUGCUACUGCAUCUGUUUAUCUACAAAUAGCUAGCAGCUGACUACUCUGCUGUUUACAGUCUAGCUCUCUCACGCACGCUCCCUCAUGCCCAAGCGCUCUCUCUUGUCCCUGAUUCUCCAACCACAGGAGCUGUGGACGACAACUCUGUUUCCUGCACCAAGGGCAACAUGCGGGGGUGACAAUCCUGUUUCCUGUAACAAGGGCACCAUGCGGGCGGGAUAGCUCUGUUUUCUGCACCAAGGGCACCAUGCUACUACAUCACAAACUCACACCACUGCCAACACGUCAACUCUAUACCGCAUGUGCAAAUGUAAAUAUCCAUUGUCUAGGCAGUAAUGGGCGAAAUGUGCCAGCUGGCUUACACAGCGGUCUGGUCUCUGACCGUAACACUUCCUCUCUCUGUCUGAGGGUACUGUAUCUCCCUGCAGUUGCCACAGGUGCACUAAGUUGCAUGUGUGAGAGGUGGCUCACCAUUCCGUCACCGGUAAAUAUCUAGGACAUCAAAAAACAACCCUGGCUCUGGCUGAAACAUCAGCCUCACCACCUCCCUGUUGUCUGAAUCAUCCAGCUCUCUGAUGAGGAAUUUGUGAAUGAACAGAUGCACACAUAGCCUAUUAUCAGUAAGGCAGAAUGUGAUAUUUCUCAUACAGUAUGUAUGGUCAAGGUCUACGAUUAAAUCAAAGCCAAUUCAAACACUACUUUUUAUUGCAAAUUGGAUAAAACUAGACCAUGUUUCUGUUGCUAGCUGUAGCUGCAAUUGUGUCAAACUAGCUUUGGUUUAUGAAACUUUAGCAAGGCUAGCAAGGGGCCC